Molecule: ribosomal RNA, 355 nt
Filed under: Salmonella enterica subsp. enterica serovar Typhimurium
Lineage: Bacteria; Pseudomonadati; Pseudomonadota; Gammaproteobacteria; Enterobacterales; Enterobacteriaceae
Also listed under: 1 other name
Description: bacterial LSU rRNA
Rfam family: Bacterial large subunit ribosomal RNA
Source: RNAcentral
AGUGGAAGCGUCUGGAAAGGUGCGCGAUACAGGGUGACAGCCCCGUACACAAAAGCGCAUGUGCUGUGAGCUCGAUGAGUAGGGCGGGACACGUGAUAUCCUGUCUGAAUAUGGGGGGACCAUCCUCCAAGGCUAAAUACUCCUGACUGACCGAUAGUGAACCAGUACCGUGAGGGAAAGGCGAAAAGAACCCCGGCGAGGGGAGUGAAAAAGAACCUGAAACCGUGUACGUACAAGCAGUGGGAGCACAGGUUUACCUGUGUGACUGCGUACCUUUUGUAUAAUGGGUCAGCGACUUAUAUUCUGUAGCAAGGUUAACCGUAUAGGGGAGCCGUAGGGAAACCGAGUCUUAACC